RNAcentral lists this long non-coding RNA (768 nucleotides) under Pogona vitticeps (central bearded dragon). RNAcentral's name for it is "lncRNA (ENSPVIG00000006709.1)". The record is from RNAcentral. Lineage: Eukaryota; Metazoa; Chordata; Lepidosauria; Squamata; Agamidae.
UUUUAAAUCAGUACGGGUAAGGCGGCGGUCGUGGUAGGAGGGCUGGAUCUACGUCGGACCAACUGGGUGCCUGGGUUUGAAAGCGGUUAAGAUCCCGUGGGUCGCUCUCCUUUGAGCCCAGGCUGAGAUCCAAAGAAAGGAAGCAACUCCGUACGUGCACAGAGGCACGCCUUUCUCCACCUGCCUUGGACGUUCAGCCAUGAAUCCAGUUAUGCAAAAGCUGAUACGGCAUUAUCUGUUGAAAACCGAGUCGGGCGAUUGGGAAUGGAUCUGGAUGGAAGAUCCAUGGACUCACAAGUGGGAGCAGGUGCGGGUGCCGCGCAAGGAAGCUGAAAAGAGACGACAGCUAGGUCUCAAACCUCGUCCCUCGUAUUGGGGAGAGACAGAAGCCAAAGAGUGGAAACGGAAACUGAGAGAAUAGAGAGAAGCUGUGGCCCGUGAGUUGUGAUUGAUUUCUUUCCCCUUCUGACUUGGUGGCCUCUGUGUCUACUUAAUUUGUGAUGUCCAGAUAUUUUCCAUUGAAGGAUCCCUUCUCUCCUUUCUUAUCAUUCUUUGUCUUGUUGCGUAGUUAUGCAAAAGCUGAUACGGCAUUAUCUGUUGAAAACCAAGUCAUGCAACUUGGCAUGUAGCAGACAAAGUCUAUCGAGAUUUCUUAAUGUACAACUAUUUGCUGCUAAAUGUUACGACUUUUGUGUAACUGCACAACAGGAUUUUGACCUUUCUCUUUAAAUUGGAGCUGGCAUCACCUGAAAUAGAGGAACGUUUUCA